GGUUGAUCCUGCCAGUAGUCAUAUGCUUGUCUCAAAGAUUAAGCCAUGCAUGUCUCAGUGUAAACUUUUAAACAGUGAAACUGCGAAUGGCUCAUUAAAACAGUUAUAGUUUAUUUGAUACUCUUUUUACAUGGAUAUUCCCGGUAAUUCUGAGAUUAAUACAUGCUUGCCCGCAAGGGCUGUGUUUAUUAGUUUAUAAACCAACACUGUAGCAAUACAGUACAGUUGGAAUGAUAAUAACCGAUCGGAUCGCACGCAUUAUUGUGGCGACAGAUCAUUCAAGUUUCUGAUUU
Molecule: ribosomal RNA, 293 nt
Filed under: uncultured eukaryote
Lineage: Eukaryota
Description: partial 18S ribosomal RNA
Rfam family: Eukaryotic small subunit ribosomal RNA
Source: RNAcentral